Molecule: ribosomal RNA, 309 nt
Filed under: Pseudomonas aeruginosa
Lineage: Bacteria; Pseudomonadati; Pseudomonadota; Gammaproteobacteria; Pseudomonadales; Pseudomonadaceae
Description: bacterial SSU rRNA
Rfam family: Bacterial small subunit ribosomal RNA
Source: RNAcentral
GGGAUAACUACUGGAAACGGUAGCUAAUACCGCAUAAUGUCGCAAGACCAAAGUGGGGGACCUUCGGGCCUCAUGCCAUCAGAUGUGCCCAGAUGGGAUUAGCUAGUAGGUGGGGUAACGGCUCACCUAGGCGACGAUCCCUAGCUGGUCUGAGAGGAUGACCAGCCACACUGGAACUGAGACACGGUCCAGACUCCUACGGGAGGCAGCAGUGGGGAAUAUUGCACAAUGGGCGCAAGCCUGAUGCAGCCAUGCCGCGUGUGUGAAGAAGGCCUUCGGGUUGUAAAGCACUUUCAGCGGGGAGGAAGG